This 229-nucleotide ribosomal RNA is filed under the name uncultured bacterium. RNAcentral's name for it is "partial 16S ribosomal RNA". It matches the Rfam family "Bacterial small subunit ribosomal RNA", at positions 15 to 235 of the family's 1533-position model. The record is from RNAcentral.
GAUCCUGGCUCAGGAUGAACGCUAGCUACAGGCUUAACACAUGCAAGUCGAGGGGCAGCAUGGUCUUAGCUUGCUAAGGCCGAUGGCGACCGGCGCACGGGUGAGUAACACGUAUCCAACCUGCCGUCUACUCUUGGACAGCCUUCUGAAAGGAAGAUUAAUAUAAGGUGGCAUCAUGAGUCCGCAUGUUCACAUGAUUAAAGGUAUUCCGGUAGACGAUGGGGAUGCG